UAUGGUAAGCCAGCAGCCGCGGUAAUACGUAGGGGGCAAGCGUUAUCCGGAUUUACUGGGUGUAAAGGGAGCGUAGACGGUGUGGCAAGUCUGAUGUGAAAGGCAUGGGCUCAACCUGUGGACUGCAUUGGAAACUGUCAUACUUGAGUGCCGGAGGGGUAAGCGGAAUUCCUAGUGUAGCGGUGAAAUGCGUAGAUAUUAGGAGGAACACCAGUGGCGAAGGCGGCUUACUGGACGGUAACUGACGUUGAGGCUCGAAAGCGUGGGGAGCAAACAGG
Molecule: ribosomal RNA, 278 nt
Filed under: Blautia wexlerae DSM 19850
Lineage: Bacteria; Bacillati; Bacillota; Clostridia; Lachnospirales; Lachnospiraceae
Description: partial 16S ribosomal RNA
Rfam family: Bacterial small subunit ribosomal RNA
Source: RNAcentral